AGCAAUAUCACCAGCUCGGUGGAAGAU
This 27-nucleotide small RNA is filed under the name Bombyx mori (domestic silkworm). Its description in RNAcentral is "ovarian small RNA-12021". The record is from RNAcentral. Lineage: Eukaryota; Metazoa; Arthropoda; Insecta; Lepidoptera; Bombycidae.